Non-coding RNA from Potamilus streckersoni, 77 nucleotides. The record is from the annotation of a GenBank genome assembly. Lineage: Eukaryota; Metazoa; Mollusca; Bivalvia; Unionida; Unionidae.
GCUUCGCUGGCCUAGUGGUUAGAGCGUCCGCCUCGAACUCGAAAGGUCGUGGGUUUGAUCCCCGGCCGAGUGAUACC